UGAGUUAGCCCAGUUGGUAGCACGAGUGCUAUAGGAUCGGGAAGUUCCGGGUUCGAUUCCCGGGAGAACAA
Molecule: non-coding RNA, 71 nt
Organism: Rhododendron molle
Lineage: Eukaryota; Viridiplantae; Streptophyta; Magnoliopsida; Ericales; Ericaceae
Source: the annotation of a GenBank genome assembly